CCUCUCUCCUCCUUCUCUCCCCCUUCUCCCCUUCUUUUCCCCUCUCUCUUCCUUCCCUUCCCCUCUCUCCUCCUUCUCUCCCCCUUCUCCCCUUCUCUCCCCCUACUCUUCCUCUCUCUCCUCCUUCUUUUUCCCCUCCGUCCCCCUUCAAUUCCCUCUCCUUCUCCCUUUUCUUCCCCUUCCUUCUCUUCCCCCUCCUCACCAUCUCUUCCCCCUUCGUCUCCUGCUUUCUCCACUUUUCUUCCCUCUCCCCUUCCCCUUCUAUUCUCCCUCCUUCUCCCCUUCAACCUUCCCACUUCUCCCCUUCUCUUCCCCCUCUUUUGCCCCUUCUCUUCCCCCUCUUUUGCCCCUUCUCUCCCCCUUCUCUUCCCCCCUUUCCUCCUUUCCUCCCCUCUUCUCUCCCCCCUCCUUCCCCCUUCUUCUCCUCCCUCCUUCCCUUUCCCUUCCUUCCCCUUUCCCCUCCCCUUCCAUACUCCCCACUCCCAUCCCCAGGACCCCCAGGCCAGGCGACCACCCCUGUGCCGGCCGCCCCGAGAGUGGGGCAGGACUGGGCAGAAUUUGAGUCUAAGCCGCACACCCACGUCAGGCAUUGACCAGUGAGGAGCAGAUGGGGAUGAUGGAGACGCAGGUACCCCGAGGAAGACCGUCUGCCUAUCACGGGGUCUCACAGAGUCUCACGAGGCUGCCUCCUGGCACCUUCAGGUCUGGUCACCCCCACUCAAGACACCAUCCAGGGCCGGGGUAAGACCUGGCCUCUCGGAAGCAGGGAGUGUAUGUGUUAUAUUGUUAUCUCUCCCAAGUGCUUAGUACGGGGCCGUGCACUCAGGAAGCACUCAGUAAAUAGGAUCGACUGCCUUUCUUUCUCCACAGCCUAUCAAUGGACAUCAUAAGGGGGAGUCUGGAGGAAAUUUCACGCCCCGCGUCCAGCGCCAGGGUCCAUCUUGGGACCCCGGGGUCGAGCACUUCCUUGGAGGUGCUGACGCCGGAGCCAAGUCUGCCCAAGGCCAUCGCCACGGUUGAGUCUCCCCCCGCUGACCGACGCCUCAGCCCUGAGAGCCGUCGGGCAGAGGGAAGCGGCGGGAGCGAUCAAGGCGAGAGAGAGCAAUGCUCUCGUCUCAGUGGCCCGCACCAAGGCUGUUCAGAGGAUGGGACUGGCAGCGAUUGCCCCCGGCUGAUCCAGAGUCCUCUGCCCUCGGACUCCGGUUCCAGCCUGGGGGACUCGGAAGACGACUGCGCCACCGUGGCCUCGUCCACACCCAGGAAGCCGUCACCGGAGCCCCGGAUUCACGUGGCAGAAGGUGCCGGGGUCGGGUCUGGCUUUGGGCCUCAGUGCCGGCCAACGGUUUCCCACUGCAUUUGUCUG
This 1363-nucleotide long non-coding RNA is filed under the name Ornithorhynchus anatinus (platypus). RNAcentral's name for it is "lncRNA (ENSOANG00000043745.1)". The record is from RNAcentral. Lineage: Eukaryota; Metazoa; Chordata; Mammalia; Monotremata; Ornithorhynchidae.